Molecule: ribosomal RNA, 327 nt
Filed under: Corbicula sp. ZA3b
Lineage: Eukaryota; Metazoa; Mollusca; Bivalvia; Venerida; Cyrenidae
Description: partial 28S ribosomal RNA
Source: RNAcentral
CCGGCCGCCGCACGGAGCUCGCAGAGUUCGGAUCCGCAAGGACCGGGCCAGCGGGACGUCCGCGUGGCAGGGUGCACUUUCUCCGCGGUCGAGUGCUACGACCGGUUUCGCGGCGGUCAGAAGCCCGGCGGAAAGGUAGCGCCGCCCCUCGGGGUGUCGUGUUAUAGGCCGCCGCGGUGGACUCGCCGCGAGACCGAGGACGCUUGCCGCGCCGAGCGGUCCCGGGCCGUCUGGGGAGGUUCGACCUCGGCUGCACUGCUCCGCAGAGCACCGUAACCGCCGCCCUAGCACGGGUCCGGAGACCGCCGGCGCCUCGGGUCAGUAGCG